This 352-nucleotide ribosomal RNA is filed under the name Salmonella enterica. RNAcentral's name for it is "bacterial SSU rRNA". It matches the Rfam family "Bacterial small subunit ribosomal RNA", at positions 1 to 351 of the family's 1533-position model. RNAcentral also lists the same sequence under 1 other name. The record is from RNAcentral. Lineage: Bacteria; Pseudomonadati; Pseudomonadota; Gammaproteobacteria; Enterobacterales; Enterobacteriaceae.
AAAUUGAAGAGUUUGAUCAUGGCUCAGAUUGAACGCUGGCGGCAGGCCUAACACAUGCAAGUCGAACGGUAGCACAGAGAGCUUGCUCUCGGGUGACGAGUGGCGGACGGGUGAGUAAUGUCUGGGAAACUGCCUGAUGGAGGGGGAUAACUACUGGAAACGGUGGCUAAUACCGCAUAACGUCGCAAGACCAAAGAGGGGGACCUUCGGGCCUCUUGCCAUCAGAUGUGCCCAGAUGGGAUUAGCUGGUUGGUGAGGUAACGGCUCACCAAGGCGACGAUCCCUAGCUGGUCUGAGAGGAUGACCAGCCACACUGGAACUGAGACACGGUCCAGACUCCUACGGGAGGCAG